GGGCAGCGGCCUAUACACUCAUAUGGCUCCCCCAGCCUGCAAGCAACACCUUUAAAUUAUCAUCACUUAACAGUUUGGCAGAGUCCCCUGUUACUAGAAGGGAAACCAGUCUGGUUUACAGUUAUUUGUAUACCAGAAUUCUCCUGUGUCCGUAGACUGAAAUAAAUGUUAACAAAACAUAAUAUUUUGUCAUUUAUUUGGCUAAAGCAAAAAUAAAAAAAAAACACUUUUUUUUUUUUGUUUUGUUUUGUUUUAAUAUUUAAUUAUUUUUAAGGUCUCAUGCUUUGACAUUUUUGCCAAAUCCACCUGCUCAUAAAUCAGCCUUCAACAAAAUCAUAGAAUUGUAGGUCACAGAAUCACAGACUGGUUUGGGUUGGAAGGGGGCUUGGAGCAACCUGGUCUAGUGGAAAGUGUCCCUGCCCAUGGCAGGGGGUUGGAACUGGGUGAGCUUUAAGAUCCCUUCCAAUCCAAACCAGUCUGUGAUACGAUGGUGGUUCUAUGAUUAAUUGGCUAGCAGUGUGGGGCUGGUGAUGCCUAUGCACAGAGGAGCUGUGCAGAGGGAGGGUAAACCAAGGAUGCACCAAGCCAGAGAAUUUGAAGGGGUACCGUUUUGAGCCAGCAUGGUGGAAGAGGAUGUGCAAUACAGACAGAUCUCCUGGGUAACGAGGCUCACCAGGAGUCAGGCUGCUGCAAGGCAGUGGAAACAUGCACGUAAGAUGGGGAGCUCAGCAAGGGCCUGAGGCUGCUGUCAAAGCAAGAAUGAGCUCCAAAGGAAGCUCAGUGUCUGAAGCACAGCAGCAGCAGGCUGUUGACAUACAGGAGGACGCUGAAUGGGUCUUUGCCCUGGGGAUGGACAGAUGAGUUGUGUAACUCUCUCCUGAACCUGCUGGUGUUGGAGGGCCCCUUGCUAAGCAGCCUGGACAGGGCUGUUUUAAUGUCUGCAUUGAAAUGGGGAAGUUGUUUCCUUUGGUAUGGAAAAUAUAAUUUUUUUAGUCUUAAAAAUUCCAAGCUUACAUUCAUAAUAGUUUCAGUUCCAGCUUAUUUAUCACUUCUGUCUUGCUUGGAUCUGUUACAUGGCACGUGCAGCCAAAAUUGUUAAUAAAAGACAGUGUUUUCAAGUGACCUUAAUCAAAUUUUAAAAGUUGUUUUCAUAUUUAGUUUAAAAAACCUGACAAUCUGAGGGAAAAUAUUGAUUAUUGACUGCACUGUGUUUUCAGAAGUUUAAAGUUGUAAUAAGAAUUCAUCUUUAUCAGAAAGUUAUUUUUCAUACUCUAAAGAAAAAUUAUUAGAAACUAGAUUUUCUUCAGUCAGUACAUGGCAGGAGAAUCACAUAUGCAUGCCACAAAAAUGCUUAAAUGCUGCCAGUAAAUGGAAUAAGUCCUUUCAUCUCCUUUACAUGAGAGAGAAAUUCUAGUACUUUGGAAUUUAGCAUAUACCCAGCUAAUGUGUGCGUAUAUGAACAUGUAUAUAUAUACACAUUACGCUUUAAUAUAUAUAUGUAUAUAUAUAUAAAGCAUAUAAAAGGUCAGCUUUGAAAUUCUGUAACUAUGUUUAUCUGCUGAUCUACUGAAUGGUCCCAGUAUCUCUCUCUUCCCCUUUUUUUAUUUUUAGUAGAGAGAAUGCACCCAAAUCAGCCCUAUUGUCUUGGUUAUAUAGUUUAAGUCAUCAGACUAAAGACUAGGAAUAACAUCAUGUGAAUCAGGCCCUCGCUCAUGUUGAACAGGCCUUUCACUUUCAAUAUGAAGUAUAGCUGGCUUUUUCUCAUUUUGAGUGACAGAUGAUAAAGCAAUCAUUGUUUUGUUAUUAUUUGCCACCACAGUACUGGGAAACCAAGUAAAAUGGAGAAAACAGCUUUUUUGUUUCUUUAAUGGGUUGUUACGCAAGCAGAGCUGAAACGUUUUAUGUUUUAAUUGCUUUCAAAGGUCCCUGUCUUGUAAACACUUUGUCUCCGACAGCAGCAGGUUUCUGCGUUCCUGCGCUGAAUCUAGGGGGGUUCUGCACGGAUUCACUUCCCUGCCCUUGUGCUAAUGUUUGCUGGCUCAGGGCCGAAUGCACAUGCUUAACUUUACGUGCAUUAGUCAUGCCAUUGAACUCAAAUGGGGGAGGUGACCUUAUGAAAUAGCUACAUCGGGAAUGUACAAUGCAUUAUUCUUACGGCAGUUCAGAAAACACAGGCAACAAACAUAUCUUGCACUGCAGCCUGACACAACCUGAAAGACACAGCCAAGGGGUAAGAAACUUUAAUCUAAGAUAAAGGCAAAUUAGUAUGGUGAAGGAUUAGCAGCUCCUACAAGCGCAACGCAGUUCUUGGAUGUGAUUCAUUUUGUAAGGUAAAAAAGAAAAGCCAGCAAGCAGUAUGUUUUCAAAACGAUUAGCAAAACUCUUCUGAGAAAUGUUUUUUACACAAACGUGCUGUUGUAGUUUAUAUACCUACAUAAUUCUAAAAUGCAAAACAAAUUUACUUAACUUCAGAGAAUGACAAUACCUGGAGGAUAUAGAUAGUGGAUGUCUUUUCCUACACUACACUUACAUAUCUUUGAAAUUUGAAAAAUGUUUUACCUAGCUUCAUUGAAUGUCUGGAGGUUAUGAAUGGUACCAUCUUGAAGUCAUAAAUGAUAACUGUCUUUCCGUCUCUCUUUUCUUUAGACAGUCUCAACUUUGUUACAAGUUCAGAAUAGCAAUUUUUGCUAACCACAGUCAUAGAAUCAUAGAAUCAUAGAACAGUUAGGGUUGGAAAGGACCUUAAGAUCAUCUAGUUCCAACCCCCCUGCCAUAAAAUAGUUCGUAAAUGUAAAUAGUUCAUAAAUAGUUCAUAAGUAGUCAUAAAACAGUUCAACACUGCUUGUAUCAGAAGUGUAUUUUUUACCCAGUCAUGCAAACAAUACAAUUAUUAUUUUAAGACAAUAUUCAUGUGUAAUGCUACAUGCCUUAGUAAUUUUAUGUAAUGAAGACUGGAAAAGUUGUACUCACAUCACUUAGACUAAUCCAAACCCUAACCAGAAUAUUUAUCAAGCCUAAAUUUUCCUGUGUAUUUACAUCUCUGUAAUAUGUCUUUCUAAUGUUCAAUGAGCCACCAUUAAGAGCAGUAUUUUUGAUUCUGCAUAUGCAGAUUCAGUAUAUGUCAUUGGAGCUAUUCUAACUAACUGGAGCAGUUUUAAGGAAAUGACCUCAGAAAGGGGAAAAUUAAAAAUACAUGAGGAAAAAGGAUGCUGUUCCAUCUACAAAGUAGGGAAGAACAAUCUAUACUACUUAAAUAUGCAAUUCCAUGCUUUCCUGUGUUAAAAAUGCUGCAAUGGACCGAAAGCAACAAGUGCUUUCCUAUAUGAAAUUGCUACUCAUGUACAAAUUGUAUCCAGUACACCAGAAGUAUAGAUAUUAAUCAUUCUUAGCUCUCCUGUGUCAGUUUUUCAGUUUACUUCUAAAAACUUUUUUCCAGAGAAAGAUAUUAUUCUUGCUUUCUAGCAGAUGAGGAAAUCAAAACGUGAUUUUUCCAAAUCACAGAAAACCCAAAACUUUCUGUACCAGACCUCAUGGCUCCCUGUAUAAAGACUUGCAUCAUACAGUGGUAGGACAAAGGGGAAUGGGUUCAAACUUAAACAGGGGAGAUUGAGAUGAGCUCUCAGGCAGAAGUUCUUCCCUGUGAGGGUGGUGAGGCCCUGGCACAGGUUGCCCAGAGAAGCUGUGGCUGCCUCAUCCCUGGCAGUGUUCAAGGCCAGGUUGGACAGGGCCUGGAGCAACCUGGUCUAGUGGAAGGUGUUCCUGCCCAUGGCAGGGGUUUGGAACUGGGUGAGUUUUAAGGUCCCUUCCAGCCCAACCUGUCUGGGAUUCUAUGAUUCUAUACCUGAGUAUUUUGCAUUGAAACACCAAAGCUUGUUUGCAGGUGCAUUUCAGCAGCCUGCUUCCUUCUUUUAUUUACUUGUAUGUUAUUUUUAUGUCUUGAUGCAAUUCUGCUUUAUGUGUAUGGGAUGGACGCAGUCAGAUUUGGAAAGAAAUUUUGGUGCCAUCACAUGGAUGUGCUACUGGAAGCUGGGUGCCCGCACGUCUGAACCAGUCUCCAUCCGUUUUUCCCAGUUCUGCAUGGGCUGCCUGCAAGACAACAGCAUCUUUAGGUCUAGUGCAACGGUCAGAUAAGACUUGUGUGGGUCUCUGGAUACUUAUCCUAGUGAGAGGGGAACUAAAUAUUGUACCAGUGGCUUGAUCUGCCCUGUCCUGGCUGCCCAAAGUUGUGAGUCAGCCACCAUCCUAUGUGUGAUGCUCUCUAGUGAUAGAGCAAUAAGACAAUUUCAGACAAAAAUAAGGCUGCAAACUAUCACCUGGGCCAUGGAAAUGAUCAAGGAAGUCCAAACUUAAGUAUGAACUCAAGACAAAAUGGGACAGUUUCAGUGUGGCACAGAAUAUCGACAGUGCACUAUCCAUGCACUCAAAAAAGAGUUUAUUCUGGUCUCUUUGGAUAGAUACAGGUAGUUUUAGUAAAACUACCUGUUUUUCAGAUGGUAAAACUGUACCAAGCCCUGUACAGAAAAUAUCUGAGCUAAACAGAUGGUGCUUAGUCCUGCAAAAUUAUCUUACAAAUGGCUUGUGCUCUAAGCUGAUUUUAUGCAUAGCAAAUACAUUUCUAAACGAGAUUUCCUGCAUGAACCUCCACUAACAGCAAUACCUAUUACAUAAUGCCUUAAAACGGUAUACCUACUUGGAGGUAAUAAGCCUCACAAUCAGUCACUAUGGCAAAGAGUAAAUUGUCUUUUAUUCCCUUUUCAGAGGCAUAAAGGAAUACACAGAAGAAAAGAGUUUACUUCAGUUCAAGUGCAAGAUAUUAUCUUCUACUGGGGCUAAAAAUAAGAGGUUUUUCCAGUGUUGAUCUUGUUUACGGUGCUUCAUAUUGCUACUUCACUUGUCUUUUUAGUUCAAUAUAUAUGAAUUCAUUAAGACAAGAAUGUUAAUCAGCAAAAUAUCCAAAACAUUUUUGCAUUACUAUUUCUGUGUCAUUCUACCUGUAAAUAUAUUAUCCAUCUUCUCUUGAUUGAUGAGUUCCCAUCUGCAUGAGUGUAUGGCACAUGGAAUUGAAGAGAGAAGGUUUUGUCAUUUCAAGUUGUACUUAAAGUAGAAAAAUGAACAUGCUUUACAGGAAAUGUCUUUUUCUAAAAGACUUAAUAAUUCUGUGUUUCAGAGCAGCACAUAUGGCUAGUGACCUCUCUUCCCAAGGAGAAUGGCUGAGAUGUCUGUUUGGAAUUAUUCCUGGAAUUAGACCAGCAUGAAGUCUCCUUUACCAAUCUCAGAAAAAAAAUCAUGUCAUGAAUUGGAUUAUGUAUGGCAAAGAUGAAAAGGCAAGCCCUUCUCCUUGCAUGAAAACCUUGGAAAGCUGUAAAUUUGGGAGUUCUGUUGAAAGUCAAUAUAGCAAAACUUUCACUGGAAGAGAAUUGUACAGUCAAGUUUUUGAAGGUUUGGAAGUUUAAGAAGCCUUGGAUGCCAUUCUGAUACUGUCGCAUACUGUUUUUCUCACUUAUUCAAUCAUCAGAGUUUGAAGAUCCACUGAAAUCAGUGAAUAAAGCUGGACGAAUCACCCUUAAACAUCAAAAUACACUUGGUGGAAUAGAAGAGCACCCAGAAAGUAAUAACACACUUAUGGGAUCCAGCCUCUUUGUUUCAAGAUGUGGAGGCAAGCAGGAACCCUUGGAAUUGAAGGCUGUCUGCCCAUGUUGAGCCUGAUCUAUCAAAUUCAGUAUUUUAUAAUAUCACCUCAUUAAGAUCCAUAUAUGCUCAGACAUACAGCAGAUAAUUCACUUGUUAUAAAUAAACAGGUACUUCUUAAUUGU
RNAcentral lists this long non-coding RNA (5813 nucleotides) under Strigops habroptila (Kakapo). Its description in RNAcentral is "lncRNA (ENSSHBG00005003617.1)". The record is from RNAcentral. Lineage: Eukaryota; Metazoa; Chordata; Aves; Psittaciformes; Psittacidae.